RNAcentral lists this unclassified non-coding RNA (376 nucleotides) under soil metagenome. RNAcentral describes it as "partial contains 5.8S ribosomal RNA, internal transcribed spacer 2, and large subunit ribosomal RNA". The stretch from base 1 to 120 matches the Rfam family "5.8S ribosomal RNA", at positions 35 to 154 of the family's 154-position model. The record is from RNAcentral.
GAUGAAGAACGCAGCGAAAUGCGAUAAGUAAUGUGAAUUGCAGAAUUCAGUGAAUCAUCGAAUCUUUGAACGCAUCUUGCGCUCCUUGGUAUUCUGAGGAGCAUGCCUGUUUGAGUGUCAUUAAAUUCUCAACUACACUGACUUUGAAUUGGUGUGGCUUGGAUUUGGGUGGGAAAAUUGUUGUGGGCUUUUUGUAUAGUCUGCUCCCCUGAAAUUGAUUAGCGGUACCUUUGUGGAACUGUCUACAGGUGUGAUAAUUAUCUACAUCCUAGACAUCUGCUGGAAUGCUGCUUUCUAAACCUUACUUGUAUUGACAAUCUUGACCUCAAAUCAGGUAGGACUACCCGCUGAACUUAAGCAUAUCAUAAGCGGAGGA